UUCAUAAAGAGAGUUUGAUCCUGGCUCAGGAUGAACGCUGGCGGCGUGGAUAAUGCAUGCAAGUCGAACGGUCCCGACAAAUUUCGCAAGAAAUUUGUCGCGGAUAGUGGCAGACGAGUUAGUAACACGUAGGAACUUACCCCAGAGACGGAUAUAACCCGGCGAAAGCCGGACUAAUUUCCGAUAGUCACUGAGAGCGAAAGCUCGAAGUGUAAAUCACUUAGAUUGGCUCUGGGAGAGGCCUGCGGGCUAUCAGCUAGUUGGCGAGGUAAUGGCUCACCAAGGCUAUGACGGCUAGGGGGCGUGAGA
RNAcentral lists this ribosomal RNA (309 nucleotides) under Candidatus Giovannonibacteria bacterium RIFCSPHIGHO2_02_FULL_44_31. Its description in RNAcentral is "bacterial SSU rRNA". It matches the Rfam family "Bacterial small subunit ribosomal RNA", at positions 1 to 297 of the family's 1533-position model. RNAcentral also lists the same sequence under 1 other name. The record is from RNAcentral. Lineage: Bacteria; Candidatus Giovannoniibacteriota.